UUGGAGCUUCGCACUGAGAGGAUCGUAUCUGCUCAAAAUAAAUACAAGAAGAAUGUUAAUGACCAGCUGAACUGGUGUGUCAGCAGGCGAUGUUGUUCAAAGAGCCGCGGGGUCUGGGGUAUGAUUUUGCCUGCAAGCCGUGUCAUGACUGACAGCUUUGCCAGGUUCCCUUCCUGCCAUAUUGACCUUGCUGACCUGCUUCUCUACCUUGGUGGUAUCUGGGGCUUAUAUCUAUGUCUCCUCAGCUGAGUGAAGACAUGGAGGAUGAGCUCUGGCCAUCGGAAGAAUGGAAGGUUUGCCUAUUCUGGAAAUUUCAUUUAAAUAGAGAAAUACACUACGUGCUCUUUGUGCCUGGCUUCUCUCACUCAGCACAAUAUUCUGGAGUUGCAUCCAUGUGGAAGCACGCAUCAAGACCUCAUUCCUUUGAUGGCUGAAUGAUACUCUUGUGCUGGCUGGUUUUGUGCCAACCUGGCACAAGCUGGAGUUACCAUAGAGAAAGGAGCUUCAGACUUCCCUGAACCCCAAGGAGAAAGAUUUGAUGGAGACAUUCCUUUUAGGGCUGAGUGUUCCAUGAUCUCUCUCUGCAUAAUG
Mus musculus (house mouse) is the source of this 591-nucleotide long non-coding RNA. RefSeq annotates it as predicted gene, 41823. Lineage: Eukaryota; Metazoa; Chordata; Mammalia; Rodentia; Muridae. The transcript has 3 exons. The record is from RefSeq and is a predicted model, not a curated record.